CAGUCGCCGCGGUAAUACGAAGGGGGCUAGCGUUGUUCGGAUUUACUGGGCGUAAAGGGUGCGUAGGCGGAUUGUUAAGUCAGGGGUGAAAUCCCGAGGCUCAACCUCGGAACUGCCUUUGAUACUGGCGAUCUUGAGUCCGGGAGAGGUGAGUGGAACUGCGAGUGUAGAGGUGAAAUUCGUAGAUAUUCGCAAGAACACCGGUGGCGAAGGCGGCUCACUGGCCCGGAACUGACGCUGAGGCACGAAAGCGUGGGGAGCAAACAGGAUUAGAUACCCGCGUAGUCCCUGUCUCUUAUAC
This 301-nucleotide ribosomal RNA is filed under the name uncultured bacterium. RNAcentral's name for it is "partial 16S ribosomal RNA". It matches the Rfam family "Bacterial small subunit ribosomal RNA", at positions 509 to 807 of the family's 1533-position model. The record is from RNAcentral.